Molecule: long non-coding RNA, 4660 nt
Organism: Oryzias sinensis (Chinese medaka)
Lineage: Eukaryota; Metazoa; Chordata; Actinopteri; Beloniformes; Adrianichthyidae
Source: Ensembl
AUGCUCCAGAUUCCACCCAGGCUCUGCUGCUAACGGAGGGCUCCAUCUCCACCGUCCAGCCUGCCUCACUGUCUGAGCUCAGCAACGUUACAGUGUUAGGUUUGAGCAAUAACCAAAUCUCAGAACUUGGAAGGGAAGCCUUCAAAAGCCUGCAGCUCCUCCACACCCUACUGCUGGACCACAACCUCCUGACCAGCCAGGCCCUACAGGGAGGAGCUCUGACCAACCUGACUCAGCUGAAGGUUCUUGCUCUGGGCCACAACCUCAUCAGCAUGAUACAGGCCGGCUGGUUUAAAGGCACAACGGCUCUGGUUAGCUUGAAGCUGGAGGGAAAUCUGCUAACUAGUUUGGAUUCCAGUUCAUUUCCUCAGAAUGACCUCAGAGAACUGGAGAGUCUGGAUCUGUCAGACAAUCUGAUCAGUCAUCUGGACCAGAACAGGUUUUUCUUUUUUUUUCUUUUACUGUAUUUUGUUUAUUUUGAAGAAGCAAAAUAAUCAACAAAUUCAAUAAAAGUUUUUUUUUAUGAUCUCAGUUUCCAAGGGUUGGUGGGUCUGCGGACUCUGGAUCUCUCCAGGAAUCGCUUGAGUUCUGCUCCUGCUGAAGCCUUUUCCUACCUAAACUGGCUGACGAACCUGAAUCUGGACCUCAACUCGUGGAACUGCACCUGUGAGCUGCUGGAGCUCACAGCCGUCCUGACAGCUUUUAUUCAACAACCCGACAAGGUUAACUAAGUUUUAGUUAGUAAAAAAAAAAGCCUCUAAUCUUAAUUUAUGUUUAAUUAAUCACUAUGUUUAAAAAUAUAACAAAACCAUGGAAUGGUUCGUUUUUGUUUAUCAAGAAUACUAAAUAAAAAUGAAGUGAUGGUUUCGAGGUUUCAAGGAUUUCUUCAUCCUUUCCAGACCCUUUAUAACGGCCGCAGGAUGGUGUGUGUGAGCGCUGACAACCCGGCUGUGACCACGGUUCUGGAGCUGACUGAGGCUAACUGUGUUACUUCCAAUCAGAACAUCAAGGUCCAGAUAGAGAGCAAAGCCAGUGUGACACUUCAGGAGUACGCUCGAGAUCUGGCCAUCACUGCAGUCCUGUGCUUUAUUGGUGGUGUUGCUUUGACUCUUUUGGGGGUCCUGGUCUACUAUCAAAUUUCCAGGAGGAAAAAACGCCAAGAAAGGCUUAAAAAUGGGCAAGCGCGUCGAAACAUGGUGAAUCCCAUCAGCCGCCUUGAUGUUAGUGAGAGAAGAAAGCAUUUCUUCAUGGAGGCAAACAGCAGGAACACGACAGCUCUGGCUGUGGAUGCAUGGACAGAUGCUCAGGCUAAAGUCAGAGCAGACGAGAAUGGUGGCUAUUUGCAAUUUCAUAACCAUAGAACCGCCGUACCGGGGUCAAACCCAGCGAGACGGGACUACUGGAUGAAUGGAGGGAUGAAGACGGAAGAUCACCAAGAGAUGAGAAGAGUAAUGAUGGAAGAGAAAGGGAGGGCAAGCCUUCAAAUGAGAACCUCCAUCGGGGAAAUGCCUGAAAACUUUUAUUUACGUGGCCAAAGAAACUCUUCUUCUCAUUUGCAGAUUGGUAGUUUGAAAGCCCAAACUAGUCCAGAUUUAAGCAGUAAGAGGAUUCCAAACGGUGAGUCCUGCCACAACAUGUACAGACCACCAGAGCACAAUCUGAGAUAUGCAAAGACUCUCUCCUACUAUGAAGAUACGUCUGCUCACAACAGCAGAGGAAGGAAUGGUCACCACCCGUUUGACAAGACAAAGAGUGGUGGGCUCAGAAAUGUAACUUUUGAUCUGGGGAAUCUUAUAACUAAUCAAGAGAGAAACAAUCGGGAGGAGGAACGUCGUCCAGACUCUGGCAAAGAGAAAAUAAAAGAAAGGUCACACAAAGAUCCAUCCAGCCGCCCGUUCAAAGUCAAACUAAACCUAAAACCUCUACGAAAAAGCAAAGUUCAACCCCGAUUGAAAGCUGAGCAGGGCCACACGGAGAAAAGCCCCCCGAAAAGCAGUAAAAAGAAAAAACGGGACGAAAAGGAAAGACUGGAGAAGCACAAGAAAGGAAAGUCAGGAAAGAAAAGCAAGAAUGGCAGCGAGAAAAAGAAGAAAAUGUCUGAAGAAAAAGCAAAAAAUGAAGAGAAAGAAAAGAAUCAAGAAGGUGAUGCAGAUCAAACUUCUGCUAAGCAGAAAGAAUCCACAAAUCAUGAAGAAGGUCAGAAAAGUGCAGAUCCGGGUCAGAGUGACAACACAUUCCAGCCUGCUGAACACCAGGCAGCGUCUGCUGAUGCACCAACACAAAGCUGGCACGGUUUCCAGUAUCCUGCAGCUGCACCAACGCAACUUCCUUCCAAACAUCCCUUCUCUUUGAUUUCUGCUGACAGGAAUAGCACCAGCAACCUGUCCCUGCUUGGGACAACCACCUCACCUUUAAUCGGCAGCAACCUUUCUCUUCAAGGAGGGAAUACUUUGCUUAAACUUGCAGCUCCUGGAAUGAACACACCUGGAAGUCCAGCUAAUUUCCCCCCUUCUGGGAUCACAUUAGGGGGACUAAGUGUGACUCCUAAAGCUCCAGGAGGGACGGUGUCUUUAGUUCCUUCCCUUCAAAGUAACCAGCUUCUUGCUCAGGCUUUGCAAGCAAGUGCAAUGCCUGCUGCACCUGCACAGUCCCAGCUGGUUCCUGAAAACUCCCUUGCAGCUGUUCUGAAACACGAUCCAGGACUAGUCCAAGCCCUUCCAACAGAGGGAGCCCUUCUGCAGAUACCUACUGAAUCUCAGGCAUCGUGGUCCAAGCAAAGCCCUGCUGAGAAGGACCAGGAUGACACAGGUGGAGCAACUUCUCAGCCUCUUCAAGGAUUGACCACAGUAGAGAAUAUAUUAACCAACAACAACCAGACAAACACCGGGUCCAAUCCCGAGGUUCCAACAGCUAUCACGGGAACUGGAGGCGCAGACAAAUCUGAAGAAACUGUAGUGGAAGACUCUGUGCCUUCAACAUCCUCACAGAUCCUCUCCUCUUCUGAAGCUGCUGCUGCUCUGCUGCAGCAGGAGUACCUGUCAGCUGAAGGAGACUCCUCCCCAAGAAGGAGGCUUAGGCUGGUACUUCCUGAAAAAACAUCAGAUCGUCCCCCAACUGCACUGGAAAGAAAAAUACGCUAGACGCUCUGUUUUGUUCGGAACUCCAAGGUCCGGGUCCCAGUGCUUUUCUCACUGGAAGUGGUGUGUACACUAGAGAGAGCAUCAGUUUAUCCUCCAUAGAGCCAACUAUUGAUGUGAUUAGAGCCAAUGAACUGAAGAGUUUUAGAGGUGAUAACAAAGACUGUAGGGGAGCGACCGCACAGACAGAAGUUCACUCCAAACAUCUCAACAUUGUUUCAAAAAUAGGCACUCGGACUGAUAAAACCGCUUCCCUGAUCACCCGAUUUAACCCCCAGAUACAGACAAACACACAGUUGUCUGGAAUAAAAAGCAAACUAUCAAAAAAUGGCUUACACCAGUAUGUAAAUACCCUUUUUUUGGUGUUGACCCUUCGGCAUGAAUGUCCCUUUGGAAACCUCCAGUGGUCAUUUGAGGAACUGCAACAUUUGACAUUUCCUGGUUGGCUUCAAGGUCAGGAAUAGAAUAGGGGGGAUUGAUCACAAAUUACAUUUUCUAUGGGUUCGAACUCUUUUUAGUUAAAAGCAUCUUUAACCUUUUAACAUCGGAGCUUUAGCUCCAGUGUUUAUGUUCUUUCGACUACUGUAACUCUUUGACCGUUUACGCAAUUCAGUCGAUUCUGAAGCUCAAUCAAGACUAAAUAGAGAUUUUAAUUGUUGGUCCUAAAGCUGAGCGACAGAUGUUCCAAUUUUACUUAUUAACUCAUAACUUGAAAGUCUGCAAUAAAGUCAGAAAGCUCCUAAAACCUACUAUUAACCAGCUGCAGCUUGUUCAAAACUUGGCUGCAUGCCUCUUCACUAAGACCAGAAAGAAGGAGCACAUUAUACCAAAACAUCUGCACUGGUCCCCAGUCAAUUUUAAGAUCCUUUUUUCGUAGUUUCUAAACGUUUUCAUAGAAUUGGACCUUCAUUUUUUUUUAAAAUCAGAAUUACUUUUUCGUUUAUGACCCUCCCAGAGCCCUCAGGUCAGGUCUGCUGGUGGUUCCAAAGGUCAGCACUUUGGGCCUCGCCUGUCUGGGGAGGAGAGGGCUUCAUCCACUGUGAAGGUUUUUAUGAAAAAAACGCAGAACUCAUCUUUUUAUUUCAACUAGAAGUUGAUUUUGUAUUUCCUUAUGUUUUGAUUUGAUUUUACAGACAGUUUUUCCCUGUUGGUUUUUGUAGAACGUGUAUGCGUGUUGGGGGGGGGGGGUUAUUAUGGUUACUAUUUUUACUAUAUUAUUUAAGUAUUUUAUGUAAAGCACUUUGAGGUGUUCUGUAGCAGGAAAAGUGCUCCAUAAAUAAAGCUGAAGAUGAAUUUGAAGCAGAGAAAAGCAGCCUUGCGCUGUAGUGCAACACAGUAGUAACAUGAUCAAUAUUCUGUCACAGACAAAAGCCUCUUUACGCCGUAAGACCUUUUUCUCUGCGUCAGAAUCCCUUUAUUCACGUUGAUCGCACAAACAGCUGAAGAGUUAAAGUAUGUCAAAAGGUGCGUGAUAUUUAGGUGUCGCCGGCGACAUUUUCGAUGUUAAAGAGUUAAGUCUCCUG